This 505-nucleotide ribosomal RNA is filed under the name Glomus sp. MO-G5. Its description in RNAcentral is "SSU rRNA". It matches the Rfam family "Eukaryotic small subunit ribosomal RNA", at positions 569 to 1078 of the family's 1831-position model. Lineage: Eukaryota; Fungi; Glomeromycota; Glomeromycetes; Glomerales; Glomeraceae. The record is from RNAcentral.
AGCAGCCGCGGUAAUUCCAGCUCCAAUAGCGUAUAUUAAAGUUGUUGCAGUUAAAAAGCUCGUAGUUGAAUUUCGGGAUUAGUACGUUGGUCGUGCCUUCGGUACGUACUGGUGUUACUGAUUCCUACCUUCUGACGAACCAUCAUGUCAUUAAUUUGGUGUGGUGGGGAAUCAGGACUGUUACUUUGAAAAAAUUAGAGUGUUUAAAGCAGGCUCGCGCUUGAAUACAUUAGCAUGGAAUAAUGAAAUAGGACGUUGACCCUAUUUUGUUGGUUUCUAGGAUUGACGUAAUGAUUAAUAGGGAUAGUUGGGGGCAUUAGUAUUCAAUUGUCAGAGGUGAAACUCUUGGAUUUAUUGAAGACUAACUACUGCGAAAGCAUUUGCCAAGGAUGUUUUCAUUAAUCAAGAACGAAGGUUAGGGGAUCGAAGACGAUCAGAUACCGUCGUAGUCUUAACCAUAAACUAUGCCGACUAGGGAUUGGAUGAUGUUAUUUUUAAUGACUCA